GAAUUAGUGGUUCGGUUGUAAAACUUCCACCUUCCAUGUGGGAGACCUGGUUUCAAUUCCUAGCCAAUACA
This 71-nucleotide transfer RNA is filed under the name Loxodonta africana (African savanna elephant). It matches the Rfam family "tRNA". From Rfam's summary of the family: Transfer RNA (tRNA) molecules are approximately 80 nucleotides in length. Their secondary structure includes four short double-helical elements and three loops (D, anti-codon, and T loops). The record is from Rfam by way of RNAcentral. Lineage: Eukaryota; Metazoa; Chordata; Mammalia; Proboscidea; Elephantidae.